Molecule: long non-coding RNA, 1378 nt
Organism: Oncorhynchus tshawytscha (Chinook salmon)
Lineage: Eukaryota; Metazoa; Chordata; Actinopteri; Salmoniformes; Salmonidae
Exons: 3
Source: RefSeq, a predicted model, not a curated record
CUUAAUGCAAACAAAAAAUGAUACUGAAAGCAAAACAUUAACCCACAAGUGUUGAGGUCGAAUAAAUAACAAAGCAAGGAAAUCAUUUUGAAAGGCAAGAACAAAUACAUUGUAAAUGAAUGCGGGAAAAAAUGGUUUUCAUUUAAACAUUUUCAAUGAUUGCAAAGAAACGCUUCCCUCUUUGUCUGCAACAUUUUCUUUCUUUGGUUACGUUACCCUGCCCGCCCUUCGUUUUAGCUGCCUUUUUUGGGGGUUUAAAAGGAAGCGUAGAAGAUGCGUCUCUAUUGGUCAACUGGUUUUGGAAUGAUAGGUCAUGCUUGAUUUUUUUUCACUAUUUUUUAAACUUAUUUAACUUUUCCAUUUUGGAUAAAAAGGUCUCAGUGGCUACUAGAUAGCUAGACAGGGUAAAUGUACGACAAGAAGAGCAUCGGAAAACAUCCUAGCACUGAGAUGCAGUGCCUUAGACCGCUGCGCCACUCGGGAGCCUGACAGAAGCGGUUGUGGCUGAUGACCUGUCUCCAUAGCUGAGAGAAGCCAAGGAGGAAUAUCACUUCAUUCCCAACAAUACUGCUAAUAUUUCUAACUGUACCGAUGAGAAAGAGUAGGGCAGACUUAUACAAUUACAAUACAGAAAUGUUCUUGCUCUUUAGUGAAGUUCUGCCAAUCAUAUGUUGGAAACCAUUUAUCAAGGAAAACGAGUUGAACACUUUGUGGAAAUUGUCAUCUGUUUCUUGAACACCAGUGUUUCAUCUAAGGACAAUAAUAACUAUUACCUGUAUCAAAAUUAACAAUAAGGGGUAUAUCCUUAAUAAAAUAAUUGAUGGGUAAUUGUGUAUGGACAUGACAAUUAUCUGCUUUAUGCUUCUGAUUUUCCAGUGAACAUUAACAAGGAAAAACUAUACACAAUAAUACAGCUUUAACAACAUUGAGGCAAGUAACAGUUGUCAAUUGUCUCCCCAAUGACUAGCUCAAAGAAUGUUAUGUCCAUCUAUUCUGUCUAUUUAUAUUUGGCUCUAUUGUUACUAGCCAUAUAAGCAUGGAUUGAUUUGUUUAGAAAAGUAGUUUGUUGCACUGCAGCUAUCUAGCAAAAGUACCACAGUCAUAUCAAAGAUUUGUAUAACUAACCCAAGAUAGACGACAGCCUGUCGUUUUCAAUGGGAGCAAAUGAAUCAUAAUGGUCAGAAUAAGCAAGGAGGUGAGCAGCUAGGAUGUAAACAAACUGGAUCAUUGGGUGAGGCUGACCAGUCACUCCAAAACCGGAUGACGGAUAGACACUCAACAUUUUAGGCUCCCUCUUAACCCCGUGGAAUGAAUGUGCCAAAACUUUGCAACAGCAAAAAAAAAAAGGUAGCGAAAGCACAUACAGAACAGCGAGACA